Molecule: transfer RNA, 65 nt
Filed under: Dilophus febrilis
Lineage: Eukaryota; Metazoa; Arthropoda; Insecta; Diptera; Bibionidae
Description: tRNA-Arg
Source: RNAcentral
AAAUAUGAAGCAAUAAAUGCGAUUAGUUUCGACCUAAUAAAUUAGUGUUAAAUCACUCUUAUUUA